RNAcentral lists this ribosomal RNA (271 nucleotides) under uncultured archaeon. RNAcentral's name for it is "partial 16S ribosomal RNA". It matches the Rfam family "Archaeal small subunit ribosomal RNA", at positions 477 to 747 of the family's 1478-position model. The record is from RNAcentral.
CAGCGCCACGAGUGGCAACCAUGUUUAUUGGGCCUAAAGCGUCCGUAGCCUGAUUGAUAAGUCUUUUGUGAAAUCGUUAAGCUCAACUUAACGGUGUGCAAGAGAUACUGUCAAUCUUGGAACUGGGAGGAGUCAGAGGUAUUCUGGGGGGAGCGGUAAAAUGCUAUAAUCCCUAGAGGACCGCCAGUGGCGAAGGCGUCUGACUAGAACAGAUUCGACGGUGAGGGACGAAAGCUAGGGGAGCAAAACGGAUUAGAUACCCGAGUAGUCC